GGUGAUUUCCUGAGUAACGGCGAGUGAAAAGGAAUAAGUCCAUCGCAAAGGUAGUCAAGUUUUGUGCUUGACUACGGUGCUGCGUUCUUGUAUUGGCAAUUAUGACAUGGUCUGAUAGGUUUGCAAAUCCCUCUGACAAGGGUUACAAUCCAGAGUCGGUGCUAGGCCGAUAGCGAACUCUUGAAUGACCCUGUUAGCCAAAACAAGACAGAGUUAGUUUGCUUGAGAGUGCAAACUGAAGUAGAAGGUAAACUUCUUCUAAGGCUAAAUAUUGUGGUGAUACCGAUAGCAAACAAGUACCGUGAGGGAAAGUUGCAAAGAACUUUGAAGAGAGAGUUCAAAAGGGCGUGAAACUGUUUGCAGGGAAACGGUUGGAGCCACGAAGUGUAGCUGGGUUAAGAAUUCAGCUUUCACAGUGGAGGUUAACAUUUGUCAGUCAUGGUUCUCUGCCGGAGGAUACUGGCAAGUGUUUACUGCCUCUUACUGGGGAGUGCAUUUUCUUACAACUCGUGCUCGAGCCUCGACCAAUAAAGAAAUCAACAGGCUAAUUUAUGAUCACUAUUGGGGGAGAGAACCAGAGAAGAGAUUUUCUCUUCAGAUCUGGGUAAAUCUUCAAUAGUGUAUAGCACUGUAUAACUUUAUUGGAAAAAGUUUCUCGUAUCACUCAACUAGUUUGGGUGUGUGAGGGUCAACAUAAAGUACAGAAUGCUUGUCUGUUCUCUAGAAUUAUCUUGUGGUUUAUUCCAUUUCCAGUAAAGCUGUGUUCACAUUGUGUUCAGAGAAUACUGGGCAAGAUAAUCUAAAAUGAGGCAGAUAUUGUGUUGUCUGUACUGUUGUAUACAAUCUGAGGUU
Molecule: ribosomal RNA, 852 nt
Filed under: Pimeliaphilus hemidactyli
Lineage: Eukaryota; Metazoa; Arthropoda; Arachnida; Trombidiformes; Pterygosomatidae
Description: partial large subunit ribosomal RNA
Rfam family: Eukaryotic large subunit ribosomal RNA
Source: RNAcentral